AUUGAACGCUGGCGGCAGGCCUAACACAUGCAAGUCGAACGGUAACAGGAAACAGCUUGCUGUUUCGCUGACGAGUGGCGGACGGGUGAGUAAUGUCUGGGAAACUGCCUGAUGGAGGGGGAUAACUACUGGAAACGGUAGCUAAUACCGCAUAACGUCGCAAGACCAAAGAGGGGGACCUUCGGGCCUCUUGCCAUCGGAUGUGCCCGGAUGGGAUAGCUAGUUGGUGGGGUAACGGCUUACCUAGGCGACGAUCCCUAGCUGGUCUGAGAGGAUGACCAGCCACACUGGAACUGAGACACGGUCCAGACUCCUACGGGAGGCAGCAGUGGGGAAUAUUGCACAAUGGGCGCAAGCCUGAUGCAGCCAUGCCGCGUGUAUGAAGAAGGCCUUCGGGUUGUAAAGUACUUUCAGCGGGGAGGAAGGGAGUAAAGUUAAUACCUUUGCUCAUUGACGGUACCCGCAGAAGAAGCACCGGCUAACUCCGUG
RNAcentral lists this ribosomal RNA (489 nucleotides) under uncultured bacterium. RNAcentral's name for it is "partial 16S ribosomal RNA". It matches the Rfam family "Bacterial small subunit ribosomal RNA", at positions 30 to 507 of the family's 1533-position model. The record is from RNAcentral.